This 253-nucleotide ribosomal RNA is filed under the name uncultured bacterium. Its description in RNAcentral is "partial 16S ribosomal RNA". It matches the Rfam family "Bacterial small subunit ribosomal RNA", at positions 524 to 776 of the family's 1533-position model. The record is from RNAcentral.
UACGUCGGGAGCAAGCGUUGUCCGGAAUCAUUGGGCGUAAAGCGCGCGUAGGUGGCCAUUUAAGUCCGCUGUGAAAGUCAAAGGCUCAACCUUUGAAAGCCGGUGGAUACUGGAUGGCUAGAGUACGGAAGAGGCGAGUGGAAUUCCUGGUGUAGCGGUGGAAUGCGCAGAUAUCAGGAGGAACACCAAUAGCGAAGGCAGCUCGCUGGGACGUUACUGACACUGAGGCGCGAAAGCGUGGGGAGCGAACAGG